Molecule: unclassified non-coding RNA, 373 nt
Filed under: Homo sapiens (human)
Lineage: Eukaryota; Metazoa; Chordata; Mammalia; Primates; Hominidae
Description: novel transcript (ENSG00000282580.1)
Source: RNAcentral
AUCAGCAAUGUGGGAGACAGGAGCUUCACCUUCAGGCUGGAUUCCAUGAUGGAGAAAAUACAUGGAGCAGACCAGCAGUUAUUUGCAGCUAUCAUGUGAGAGAUAUUUCGUGAUUAGGGUUGACUUCAGAGUCAGAACUAUUGCCACAAAGCAAAAUGGAACUAUUCAUGCCAAUUCUUCAGGAUUGAAGGGAUCAGAAAUCUGUGCCAAGGACUCUUAGCAUAGAUCCACUUGACAUGGAGAUCCACUCUACUGAAAUGGCAGUGGUAUCAUCAGAGGCACAGUAACAUCCAGACGCAAUCCUUACUGCCUGUGGUUCCUAGAUACCUAGAUGACAGUUUGAAGACUUCACUACGGUAACCUUCUCCACAUU